GCCAUCAUGAUGGAACUGGCAGACAUGGCAGGCUGAGAACCUGUCCCUCGCUUGCGAGGUUGUGGGUUCGAUUCCCACUGGUGGCA
RNAcentral lists this transfer RNA (86 nucleotides) under Minicystis rosea. RNAcentral describes it as "tRNA-Leu". It matches the Rfam family "tRNA". From Rfam's summary of the family: Transfer RNA (tRNA) molecules are approximately 80 nucleotides in length. Their secondary structure includes four short double-helical elements and three loops (D, anti-codon, and T loops). Lineage: Bacteria; Pseudomonadati; Myxococcota; Polyangiales; Polyangiaceae. The record is from RNAcentral.